GUAAACGGCGGCCGUAACUAUAACGGUCCUAAGGUAGCGAAAUUCCUUGUCGGGUAAGUUCCGACCUGCACGAAUGGCGUAAUGAUGGCCAGGCUGUCUCCACCCGAGACUCAGUGAAAUUGAACUCGCUGUGAAGAUGCAGUGUACCCGCGGCAAGACGGAAAGACCCCGUGAACCUUUACUAUAGCUUGACACUGAACAUUGAGCCUUGAUGUGUAGGAUAGGUGGGAGGCUUUGAAGCGUGGACGCCAGUCUGCGUGGAGCCAACCUUGAAAUACCACCCUUUAAUGUUUGAUGUUCUAACGUUGGCCCCUUACCGGGGUUGCGGACAGUGUCUGGUGGGUAGUUUGACUGGGGCGGUCUCCUCCCAAAGCGUAACGGAGGAGCACGAAGGUUAGCUAAUCCUGGUCGGACAUCAGGAGGUUAGUGCAAUGGCAUAAGCUAGCUUGACUGCGAGCGUGACGGCGCGAGCAGGUGCGAAAGCAGGUCAUAGUGAUCCGGUGGUUCUGAAUGGAAGGGCCAUCGCUCAACGGAUAAAAGGUACUCCGGGGAUAACAGGCUGAUACCGCCCAAGAGUUCAUAUCGACGGCGGUGUUUGGCACCUCGAUGUCGGCUCAUCACAUCCUGGGGCUGAAGUAGGUCCCAAGGGUAUGGCUGUUCGCCAUUUAAAGUGGUACGCGAGCUGGGUUUAGAACGUCGUGAGACAGUUCGGUCCCUAUCUGCCGUGGGCGCUGGAGAAUUGAGGGGGGCUGCUCCUAGUACGAGAGGACCGGAGUGGACGCAUCACUGGUGUUCGGGUUGUCAUGCCAAUGGCACUGCCCGGUAGCUAAAUGCGGAAGAGAUAAGUGCUGAAAGCAUCUAAGCACGAAACUUGCCCCGAGAUGAGUUCUCCCUGAGACUUUAAGUCUCCUGAAGGAACGUUAAAGACGAUGACGUUGAUAGGCCGGGUGUGUAAGCGCAGCGAUGCGUUGAGCUAACCGGUACUAAUGAACCGUGAGGCUUAACCUU
RNAcentral lists this ribosomal RNA (1008 nucleotides) under Klebsiella pneumoniae. RNAcentral describes it as "partial 23S ribosomal RNA". It matches the Rfam family "Bacterial large subunit ribosomal RNA", at positions 1923 to 2925 of the family's 2925-position model. Lineage: Bacteria; Pseudomonadati; Pseudomonadota; Gammaproteobacteria; Enterobacterales; Enterobacteriaceae. The record is from RNAcentral. RNAcentral also lists the same sequence under 1 other name.